This 496-nucleotide ribosomal RNA is filed under the name uncultured bacterium. Its description in RNAcentral is "partial 16S ribosomal RNA". It matches the Rfam family "Bacterial small subunit ribosomal RNA", at positions 28 to 506 of the family's 1533-position model. The record is from RNAcentral.
GAUGAACGCUGGCGGCGUGCCUAAUACAUGCAAGUCGAGCGAACGGACGAGAAGCUUGCUUCUCUGAUGUUAGCGGCGGACGGGUGAGUAACACGUGGAUAACCUACCUAUAAGACUGGGAUAACUUCGGGAAACCGGAGCUAAUACCGGAUAAUAUUUUGAACCGCAUGGUUCAAAAGUGAAAGACGGUCUUGCUGUCACUUAUAGAUGGAUCCGCGCUGCAUUAGCUAGUUGGUAAGGUAACGGCUUACCAAGGCAACGAUGCAUAGCCGACCUGAGAGGGUGAGCGGCCAAACGGGAACUGAGAAACGGUCCAGAACCCGAGGGGAGGCAGAAGUAGGGAAGCUUCCGCAAGGGGGGAAAGCCGGAAGGAGCAACGCCGGGGGAGGGAUGAAGGUCUUGGGAUCGUAAAACUCUGUUAUUAGGGAAAAAAAAAGGUGAAAGUAAAGGGGAAAAUCUGGACGGUACCUAAUAAGAAAGCCACGGCUAACUACGG